RNAcentral lists this ribosomal RNA (253 nucleotides) under uncultured bacterium. RNAcentral's name for it is "partial 16S ribosomal RNA". It matches the Rfam family "Bacterial small subunit ribosomal RNA", at positions 524 to 776 of the family's 1533-position model. The record is from RNAcentral.
UACGUAGGGGGCUAGCGUUGUCCGGAUUUAUUGGGCGUAAAGAGCGUGUAGGCGGCUAGGUAGGUCUGCUGUGAAAACUCGAGGCUUAACCUCGAGACGUCGGCGGAAACCAUCUGGCUAGAGUCCGGAAGAGGAGAGUGGAAUUCCUGGUGUAGCGGUGAAAUGCGCAGAUAUCAGGAAGAACACCCGUGGCGAAGGCGGCUCUCUGGGACGGUACUGACGCUGAGACGCGAAAGCGUGGGGAGCGAACAGG